This 475-nucleotide ribosomal RNA is filed under the name uncultured bacterium. RNAcentral's name for it is "bacterial SSU rRNA". It matches the Rfam family "Bacterial small subunit ribosomal RNA", at positions 335 to 799 of the family's 1533-position model. The record is from RNAcentral.
ACUCCUACGGGAGGCAGCAGUGGGGAAUAUUGCACAAUGGGCGCAAGCCUGAUGCAGCCAUGCCGCGUGUGUGAAGAAGGCCUUCGGGUUGUAAAGCACUUUCAGUCGUGAGGAAGGUAGUGUAGUUAAUAGCUGCAUUAUUUGACGUUAGCGACAGAAGAAGCACCGGCUAACUCCGUGCCAGCAGCCGCGGUAAUACGGAGGGUGCGAGCGUUAAUCGGAAUUACUGGGCGUAAAGCGCAUGCAGGUGGUUUGUUAAGUCAGAUGUGAAAGCCCGGGGCUCAACCUCGGAAUUGCAUUUGAAACUGGCAGACUAGAGUACUGUAGAGGGGGGUAGAAUUUCAGGUGUAGCGGUGAAAUGCGUAGAGAUCUGAAGGAAUACCAGUGGCGAAAGGCGGCCCCCUGGACAAAGACUGACGCUCAGAUGCGAAAAGCGUGGGGAGCAAACAGGAUUAGAUACCCUGGUAGCACAGAG